UGUGGGAGCGAGCUCGCUCGCGAUGGCGUCGGUACAUUCAGCUCUGAUGCAGGCUGAAUCACCGCUAUCGCGAGCAAGCUCGCUCCCACA
Molecule: unclassified non-coding RNA, 90 nt
Filed under: Pseudomonas sp. NFACC14
Lineage: Bacteria; Pseudomonadati; Pseudomonadota; Gammaproteobacteria; Pseudomonadales; Pseudomonadaceae
Source: RNAcentral